GACGAACGCUGGCGGCGUGCUUAACACAUGCAAGUCGAACGGAAAGGCCCUGCUUUUGUGGGGUGCUCGAGUGGCGAACGGGUGAGUAACACGUGAGUAACCUGCCCUUGACUUUGGGAUAACUUCAGGACACUGGGGCUAAUACCGGAUAGGAGCUCCUGCUGCAUGGUGGGGGUUGGAAAGUUUCGGCGGUUGGGGAUGGACUCGCGGCUUAUCGGCUUGUUGGUGGGGUAGUGGCUUACCAAGGCUUUGACGGGUAGCCGGCCUGAGAGGGUGACCGGCCACACUGGAACGGGGAUGAGGCCCAGACUACUACGGGAGGCAGCAGUGGGGAAUAGUACACUGUGGGAGGAAGCCUGAUGUAACAACGCAGCGUGGGGUGAGACGGCAUGGGGGUAGUAAUCUGAUGUCGCCUGUCACGAAGCGUGAAUGACGGUAACGGGUAAAGAAGCACCGGCUAACUACGUG
Molecule: ribosomal RNA, 468 nt
Filed under: uncultured bacterium
Lineage: Bacteria
Description: partial 16S ribosomal RNA
Rfam family: Bacterial small subunit ribosomal RNA
Source: RNAcentral